GGGAUAGAAUUCCAGGAGUAGCGGUGAAAUGCGUAGAUAUCUGGAGGAAUACCAAAGGCGAAGGCAGUCCCCUGGUCCGAUACUGACACUGAGGUACGAAAGCGUGGGGAGCAAACGGGAUUAGAUACCCUGGUAGUCCACGCCCUAAACGAUGUCGAUUAGCCAUUGGAAGGACCCCUUUUCCUUUCAGUGACGUAGCUAACGCGUUAAAUCGACCGCCUGGGAAGUACGACCGCGAGGUUAAAACUCAAAGGAAUUGACGGGGACCUGAACAAGCGGUGAAUGAUGUGGAUUAAUUCGAUGCUACGCGAAGAACCUUACCUACCUUUGACAUGGCCAAAGUUCUACCGAGAGGCGGAAGUACUCGUAAGAGGAUUGGCGCACAGGUGCUGCAUGGUUGUCGUCAGUUCGUGUCGUGAGAUGUUGGGUUCAGUCCCGCAACGAACGCAACCCUUAUCUUUAAUUGCUCCUAUUCUAACAGGCACUUUAAAGAAACUGCCAAUGAUAAGUUGGAGGAAGGUGGGGAUCACGUCAAGUCCGCAUGGCCUUUAUAGGUAGGGCUUCACACGUCAUACAAUGGUUAGAACAAAGAGCUGCAAAUUCGUAAGAAGGAGCCAAUCUCACAAACCUAACCUCAGUUCGAAUUGCGGUCUGCAACUCGAGCGCAUGAAGCCGGAAUCGCUAGUAAUCGUGGAUCAGAAUGCCACGGUGAAUACGUUCUUAGGUCUU
RNAcentral lists this ribosomal RNA (729 nucleotides) under Candidatus Tremblayella phenacoccinincola. RNAcentral's name for it is "bacterial SSU rRNA". It matches the Rfam family "Bacterial small subunit ribosomal RNA", at positions 658 to 1382 of the family's 1533-position model. The record is from RNAcentral. Lineage: Bacteria; Pseudomonadati; Pseudomonadota; Betaproteobacteria.